This is a long non-coding RNA of Hyla sarda, 1064 nucleotides long. RefSeq lists it as uncharacterized. The record is from RefSeq and is a predicted model, not a curated record. Lineage: Eukaryota; Metazoa; Chordata; Amphibia; Anura; Hylidae. The transcript has 3 exons.
GGUAAGAGCCGCGUCAUGUUGGGACCAUGCUGCGCUGUGACGGGAGCUGGUCACGUGGGAGGCAACGUAUUUUCGGAGCCUCUCGAGGACCAGCGCAUACAGCGCGAGAUGCCGGGGAAAGAAGCUCAAGCAAGGUAACACUCCUAAGAGAUGGACAGUGAAUGAGAUAUGGACAGUGAAUGCUGCCCUCCGCUGAGCUUAUGGGAGACUGCUGAAUAGAAUACCCGCAGCUGUUUGUGAGGCCGAUGGCGGCACCGGCCAGGCCACACAUAACCAAGGCCCUAGGAGGACAGGGUGCACCUAAUAGAUCUCCGGGAGAUUGCUUACUGGUACGCUGAACAGGUUGGGGAGUUAUGGCACCCAAAAGACACCCAGGAAACAGCCCAGUCAGAGAAAAAGAGAAAUCAAACUCGGGAAAGCUGGACAAACUCUGGAGCUCUCCAUCUGCUAAUAAUAGUAACAAAGGCCCUUCUCCAAUAAAAAAAUAAGUUGGGCUCAAAAUAUGAAGUGUUAAACUGAGAUGAGGGAGAGAGUGAGAAACUGCUUAAUGACCAGAUGUUACAAAAUAUUCUCAUCGAGUUACAGCAAUGCAAUGCAGGGCUUAGAGACUUGGCCACCCAGAUGGGAGCUUUAUCCAGCAAAGUCUCCUUUAUUCGGGACGAUCUUAACAAAAUCAGAGAGAGGGUGAUGACGAUAGAAAAAUAUGUACCUGAAACUAAAUCCAAAGUGGACCUGGCUAAAACUACAACAGAUAAACUGUCCGAGGAAAACUCUCUAUUAACCCCUUAAGGACACAUGUGUCCGCUCCCGAUCUAUAACGCAGGGCAACGGCCGGGACCCGUGGCUAAUAGCGCGCGGCAUUGAUCGCGGUGCCGCGCGCUAUUAACCCUUUAGACGCGGCGUUCAAAGUUGAACGCCCAUCUAGAGUGAAAGUGAAAGCAUGCCGGUUAGCUCAGUGGGCUGUUUGGGAUAGCCGCGGCGAAAUCGCGGCAUCCCGAACAGCUUACAGGACAGCAGAGGGUCCCUACCUGCCUCCUCGCUGUCUGAGAUCCAGGCAUGAGCAG